This 406-nucleotide ribosomal RNA is filed under the name uncultured bacterium. RNAcentral's name for it is "partial 16S ribosomal RNA". It matches the Rfam family "Bacterial small subunit ribosomal RNA", at positions 29 to 526 of the family's 1533-position model. The record is from RNAcentral.
AUUGAACGCUGGCGGCAGGCCUAACACAUGCAAGUCGAGCGAGCGGCGGACGGGUGAGUAAUGUCUGGGAAACUGCCUGAUGGAGGGGGAUAACUACUGGAAACGGUAGCUAAUACCGCAUACUAACAGAUGUGCCCAGUUGGGAUUAGCUAGUUGGUGGGGUAACGGCCCACCUGGGCGACGCUCCCUAGCUGGGCUGAGAGGAUGACCAGCCACACUGGAACGGUGACACGGUCCAGACUCCUACGGGAGGCAGCAGUGGGGAAUAUUGCGCAAUGGGGGCAAGCCUGAUGCAGCCAUGCCGCGUGGGUGAAGAAGGCCUUCGGGUUGUAAGGCACUUUCGGCGGGGAGGCGUUACCCGCAGAAGAAGCACCGGCUAACUCCGUGCCAGCAGCCGCGGUAAUAC